CUUUCCAUUGAAAUAGGCCAUGAAGUUAAAACCCAGAAUAAAUUAUUAGCUGAAAUGUGGAUCCUUCAGGUUCCAGGGAUUUCACCAGUAGCAGUGAAAGCCUACUUCUGCUAAUUUUGACUGUUCCUCAGCAUUUGUCCAGAAGCUUAAAAAGAAGGAGGCUUACUUUCAGUGCCAUCUAUCACAGCUGCAGAAUUAUAUCAUGACAUGUCAAAAUAAUGACUCUGAAGCCUUCCAAAUCUUCCAAGAAAGAAGAAUCCUUAUUUUAGAUUAGUAGGAAAUGGCUUUCUACCACUCUGAAAAGUCUCUUCUUGGCCAAACAUCAAAGUCUGGAGCCAGAGAUGUAAGCAGAAAUGGGGCGGAAAGAGCUCACAUGUUGAAUCAAUCAGCCUUGAUUUGAAUCAACCUUCCAUCAAUUACCAGCUAAGUAACUUUAAAAAAGUCACUUAAUCUCUCUGGCUUUCUAUUUCCCCAUCUGGAAAGUAACACAUACCUCACAGGUUGUUAUUAGGAACAAAUAAAAAAUUUGUGUCAA
RNAcentral lists this long non-coding RNA (535 nucleotides) under Homo sapiens (human). RNAcentral's name for it is "non-protein coding lnc-TFPI2-2:1". The record is from RNAcentral. Lineage: Eukaryota; Metazoa; Chordata; Mammalia; Primates; Hominidae.